GUCAAUAAACAUAAUACUUAGAACGCGUCAUUACUUUCCUGUUUCAGCCAGAAAUAAUUAGUUAAAUCAACGACAUGAUGUGUCGAUAAAUCGUCAAUAUCAAAUACCGGUUAAUAUUAUUUUCUCUCACUUCUGAUAUCAUCAUAAUUACAUAAUAUACACAAUUUUAAUCUAGCAAUUGCGUACUGUUUUAUGAGACUUUAUCGUCUUUUAUCUAACUCUACAUCGAAUCAACGCGAAGUCGGAGAGCGCAAAAUAUUCGUAUGUGGAGAGUAUUUGCUUGAAAGACACAGAAAUCUUAUAGAAAUAUUCACAAUUACUUAGUUAAUAUAAAAACAAUUAUGUUUAGGUAAAACAAUGACAAAAAUAUUAACCAAUAUGCGAUAUCGGCCAAUUACACUGUGCAACAAAAUUUUGGUCAUGAUCACGCCUCAUUUUGAAACCUAUUCGGCUCACAUUCUGGUGCCAAAAGAAACCCGAAAACGUCUUUCAUUCCCCUAGGAAAAUAGGAUUCUGUCCAGGAGAUCAAAUUUAUCAUUUUUCUCACAUUUCGCUACAUUUCUGCCAAAAAUAGGAUACGGCUAGUCUUGUACUGCCGGUUGAGGGUCUAUUUCUAGUCAGGCUAGUAGCCAAGACCCAAACGAAUCCAACAAUGUACAGAAGUCGUGGUUUUUUAGUAUAACGUACUGUUAAGGGGCCAUUUUAAAAGAAAAAGUAGCUGCUUCCAGCGCCUGACGAACAGACCGGGAAUGUUCAAAAGUAUGAGAUGUAUGUUUUGUGAUGACAACAAAAAACAUUGGAAAACAAGUAACCAUUUUACAGACUGCAAAUAUUAAAUUGCGUUUAAUUUUUGCAUUUUAACAGUUGGUUUAAAUAACCUUAACAGUACGUUAUGCCCAAAAACCACGACUUCUGUACAUUGUUUUUUACAAGUGAUUGAAAUAAUGUGAUGUAACAAAUUUUAAUAUAAUUAUAUUUAUCAAGUGUUGAGAGUCAGCACUCUCAUGUGCGACUCAAGUGCCAUCCUCACUAGGGAAUGGCAUUAGCACUUGUGGACUUUCCUUACUAUUGUACUUUUUGUCUUUUUAUGGUAUAUAUCCCUACUUUUUAUUUUUCAUGAAUACUCAAGUAAGCAGAGAUGCCAACUCUGCUUCUCUGCAUGUAAGUCCUCUGUCCAGUUAUAUCAUUCUUGUACUUUCGUACAUGCAACACGUCACCUCCUGUGACCACAUCCCACGGCAACAUCAAGACCAUGGGGGAGGUACAGGAAAGUGAGAGAUUUUGCAAAUAUUUGGAAAGCUGAAGUGUAUCACCAGAUCUUCGGCUUAUCGGGAAAUGAGAAUAUACAUAUACUUAACUUCCACGCGGAAGGAUUUCAAAAUGGACAAGAUGAUCACUUUAAUAACCAGAGUGGCAAACUUCCAGCCAAUGCAGUUGCGUG
Molecule: long non-coding RNA, 1441 nt
Organism: Vollenhovia emeryi
Lineage: Eukaryota; Metazoa; Arthropoda; Insecta; Hymenoptera; Formicidae
Exons: 4
Source: RefSeq, a predicted model, not a curated record